This 253-nucleotide ribosomal RNA is filed under the name uncultured bacterium. Its description in RNAcentral is "partial 16S ribosomal RNA". It matches the Rfam family "Bacterial small subunit ribosomal RNA", at positions 524 to 776 of the family's 1533-position model. The record is from RNAcentral.
UACGGAAUGUGCAAACGUUAUUCGGAAUCACUGGGCUUAAAGAGUCCGUAGGCAGCAUGUUAGGUGAGGUGUGAAAUCCCCCGGCUCAACCGAGGAAUUGCGCUUCAAACCGGCGUGCUUGAGGAAGAUAGAGGUGGGCGGAACUGAUGGUGGAGCGGUGAAAUGCGUUGAUAUCAUCAGGAACACCGGAGGCGAAGGCGGCCCACUGGGUCUUUUCUGACGCUGAGGGACGAAAGCUAGGGGAGCGAACGGG